This 35-nucleotide non-coding RNA is filed under the name unclassified sequences. RNAcentral describes it as "L31-Coriobacteria ribosomal protein leader". It matches the Rfam family "L31-Coriobacteria ribosomal protein leader". The record is from RNAcentral.
GCUCUGGUCGGAAACCAGGGCGCGACAAGAAGGAG